Molecule: RNA transcript, 558 nt
Organism: Dipodomys ordii (Ord's kangaroo rat)
Lineage: Eukaryota; Metazoa; Chordata; Mammalia; Rodentia; Heteromyidae
Gene name: dynein light chain roadblock-type 1 pseudogene
Exons: 1
Source: RefSeq, a predicted model, not a curated record
UGGAACUGUAGUUAGUGUUGGCUCCGCAGCGGUGUAGCAUCUGUCCCAGAUGGCAGAGGUGGAAGAGACACUGAGGCGACUUCAGAGCCAGAAGAGAGUGCAGGGCAUCAUCGUGGUGAAUACAGAAGGCAUCCUAUCAAAGGCACCAUGGACAAUCCCACCACUACACAGCACGCCAACCUCAUGCAUAACUUCAUCUUGAAGGCUCCGAGCACUGUGCGUGAAAUUGACCCCCAAAAUGACCUGACCUUCCUUCGAAUUCGUUCCAAGAAAAAUGAAAUUAUGGUUGCACCAGAUAAGGACUAUUUCCUGAUUAUGAUUCAGAAUCCAACAGAAUAGCCACUCUUGGCUCCCCAUGUCAUUCCUUAAUUUAAUGCCCUCCAAGAAUUAUAAUGUCAAUCAUGUCAUCUGACCAGCCCAUAAAGAUGACCAUAGAUCCCUCGUGAAACAAUAGAGAUCGCUGUAGAUUCCUCAUGAGCCAAUUCAAUGACCAAGGGUGGGUUGGCAGCUCCCCUCUACCUUCACCAGAUGGAGGGAGGAAUUCUUCUCCCUUCCCCG